RNAcentral lists this transfer RNA (73 nucleotides) under Canis lupus familiaris (dog). It matches the Rfam family "tRNA". Rfam says of the family: Transfer RNA (tRNA) molecules are approximately 80 nucleotides in length. Their secondary structure includes four short double-helical elements and three loops (D, anti-codon, and T loops). Lineage: Eukaryota; Metazoa; Chordata; Mammalia; Carnivora; Canidae. The record is from Rfam by way of RNAcentral. RNAcentral also lists the same sequence under 3 other names.
ACGUGGUUGGCUCAGUUGGUGGAGCAUGUGACUCUUGAUCUUGGAGUGGUGAGUUCAAGCCCCACAUUGGGUG